RNAcentral lists this ribosomal RNA (319 nucleotides) under uncultured bacterium. Its description in RNAcentral is "bacterial SSU rRNA". It matches the Rfam family "Bacterial small subunit ribosomal RNA", at positions 1074 to 1398 of the family's 1533-position model. The record is from RNAcentral.
GUGGGGUAGUCGCACGAGCGCACCCUUGUCCUUAUUUGCCACCAGGUUAAGCCGGGAACUUUAAGGAUACUGCCAGUGACAAACUGGAGGAAGGGGGGGACGACGUCAAGUCAUCGUGGCCCUUAGGACCAGGGCUACACACGUGCUACGGUGGUCGGUACAAAGGGUUGCUACCUAGCGAUAGGAUGCUAAUCUCAAAAAGCCGAUCGUAGUCCGGAUUGGAGUCUGCAACUCUACUCCAUGAAGUCGGAAUCGCUAGUAAUCGCGGAUCAGAAUGCCGCGGUGAAUACGUUCCCGGGCCUUGUACACGCAGCCAGUA